Molecule: long non-coding RNA, 277 nt
Organism: Brassica oleracea var. oleracea
Lineage: Eukaryota; Viridiplantae; Streptophyta; Magnoliopsida; Brassicales; Brassicaceae
Exons: 3
Source: RefSeq, a predicted model, not a curated record
CUCGCAUCAAAUUUGGCAUUGACCCAUCAGAAAGAUUUAUUAUGUCAGGAGGAGAUGACUGCCACACUCGCGUUUGGUGUAUCAAAUCUGGCCAACUUCUGUCUGAAAAUAAAUUCUCCGACAGUAUCCCUUCAGUUGUGUGUUGGUCUUCGGUUGAAGGGCAAGGAGACGUGAAAGAUGGCAUUGUUCAUGGGGCAUGGUUUGGAUCGCGUGAAGGGAUAUUCAACAUGUUUUAAGACAUUCACUGCUUUUCAAGAGGUUGCAAGCUAAGAGAUUC